AACGCAUCUUGCACUCCUUAGUAUUCUGAGGAGUAUGCCUGUUUGAGUGUCAUGAAAUUCUCAAUCCUUCGAGUUUAUUUUAAAUAUAAAUGAAGAAGGCUUGGAUUUGGAGGUCGUGCCGGCUUUUGAUUUAAAGUCUGGCUCCUCUUAAAUGUAUUAGCGCAUAACUUACCGAUCGCUCUUUGGUGUGAUAAUUAUCUACGCCAUUGUGUGUGAAGUAUUUCAAUAGUUUGUGCUUCUAACCGUCCAAUGUAGGACAAGAAUACUUGACAUCUGGCCUCAAAUCAGGUAGGACUACCCGCUGAACUUAA
This 311-nucleotide unclassified non-coding RNA is filed under the name uncultured fungus. RNAcentral describes it as "partial contains 5.8S ribosomal RNA, internal transcribed spacer 2, and large subunit ribosomal RNA". The record is from RNAcentral. Lineage: Eukaryota; Fungi.